GUUGAGAGAGGACCUUGCCAACAGUGGGGGAGGGGAGAGGGAGGAGGAACGCCGGAUCGAUGGAUAGUGCAACCCAAAGCUCAUUUUUAAGUCCGGGAGGAAGUUAUUUGUGCAAGAGCCGUGCCAUUGGAGACGGGGGGAGCAGUAGACACACGCGCACAUUUGCCUACCGAUGUGAUGCCGUCAGCAGGAAACAUAGCUCUCCUGGGAAUCCAAACGGCCUGCUAAUAUCCAUCCCCAAUGUACAGCCACACGAGACCUUACAAAUCACGAGCCUCACAGCGCUCAACUCGCCGUGCCUCUAUCGAGCAUAUACACAGAGGCGGCUAAUCGGAACCAUCCAUUAUAUGAGGGCAGGCUUGUUUCAGGCCACCGGCCAUUCAUGGUGAUGGAUGUGAAUGAAGGCUGUGGGAGAGAAAGACCUUUAGAGAGUGCGAACAGAUUAAGAUCCAUACUGUCCUGGAUACCAUGCCUCCAACCUCACUCAGCUCUUUGCCAGCCUGGAGCUCCGUUCACCUGCGUGCUUCUUCCUGGUCUGCCGCUCUGCUCUGCAUCUACUCCCCAUCAGACCCCUUUACCCCUGUACAUUCAAUAAACUGUGUUUGACUACUUUUCAUCA
Molecule: long non-coding RNA, 619 nt
Organism: Micropterus salmoides (largemouth bass)
Lineage: Eukaryota; Metazoa; Chordata; Actinopteri; Centrarchiformes; Centrarchidae
Exons: 2
Source: RefSeq, a predicted model, not a curated record